GCCGCAUAACCCGCAUAAGGUGCAAGGUGUAGGGAACGCGGUUCAAGACCGUGGCUGCCCCCGCAACUGUAACCGGCGAGCAAGGCCCGAAAGGACCACUGGCGUCCGCGAGGACGCUGGGAAGGUGGGCCAAGCGUGAGACCCGGAAGCCAGGAAACCUGCCUUGCGCCGUCGUCUUGC
This 180-nucleotide non-coding RNA is filed under the name Alphaproteobacteria bacterium. The record is from RNAcentral. Lineage: Bacteria; Pseudomonadati; Pseudomonadota; Alphaproteobacteria.